ACAUCCGUGCAAACCCUGCGAAUCGUGGACGUCCCCCAAGGGGGCGGUGGUUGCGGUGCUCGCUUGCGCCCUCGCGGGCGUGGGUGCGGUGCGGCGCCCCGCCCCCUCCUCUCGGCGGCUCCGGCGGCCGGGGGGGUCGAACCUUCCGCCCCUCCGGGGGCGUGGAGCACUAUUGGAACGCGCAUUGCCUGAGACUCCCCCGCAAGGGGGAACGCGAAAAAACGAGAACGACUCUCGGCAACGGAUAUCUUGGCUCUUGCAACGAUGAAGAACGCAGCGAAAUGCGAUACGUAGUGUGAAUUGCAGAAUUCCGCGAAUCAUCGAGUCUUUGAACGCAACUUGCGCCCGAGGGCUCGCGCCCGAGGGCAUGUCUGCCUGAGCGUCCUUACAAAUCCUACGCCGCCUCCCCCACGGGGGGAGCGGCGGACGUGGCCAUCCGCGAGCUCCUUUGGAGCGUGCGGUCGGCUGAAAUGCAUCGGCGGCACCGAGCGGCGAGACGAGUCGCGGGGGUGGUCCUUCAACCGUUCGCGUCCCCCUCGCGGGGGCGUGCGGCGGUCGCGGCCGUCCGCCACGGUGCGAAGCUAGAGAGGGCUAUCGGGCGUGCGC
Molecule: unclassified non-coding RNA, 606 nt
Filed under: Equisetum hyemale (Dutch rush)
Lineage: Eukaryota; Viridiplantae; Streptophyta; Polypodiopsida; Equisetales; Equisetaceae
Description: partial contains ITS1, 5.8S rRNA and ITS2
Rfam family: 5.8S ribosomal RNA (bases 230-385)
Source: RNAcentral